Molecule: ribosomal RNA, 466 nt
Filed under: uncultured bacterium
Lineage: Bacteria
Description: partial 16S ribosomal RNA
Rfam family: Bacterial small subunit ribosomal RNA
Source: RNAcentral
GAUGAACGCUGGCGGCGUGCUUAACACAUGCAAGUCGAACGAUGAAGCCCAGCUUGCUGGGUGGAUUAGUGGCGAACGGGUGAGUAUCACGUGAGUAACCUGCCCUUAACUCUGGGAUAAGCCUGGGAAACUGGGUCUAAUACCGGAUAGGAGCGUCCACCGCAUGGUGGGUGUUGGAAAGAUUUAUCGGUUUUGGAUGGACUCGCGGCCUAUCAGCUUGUUGGUGAGGUAAUGGCUCACCAAGGCGACGACGGGUAGCCGGCCUGAGAGGGUGACCGGCCACACUGGGACUGAGACACGACCCAGACUCCUACGGGAGGCAGCAGUGGGGAAUAUUGCACAAUGGGCGCAAGCCUGAUGCAGCGACGCCGCGUGAGGGAUGACGGCCUUCGGGUUGUAAACCUCUUUCAGUAGGGAAGAAGCGAAAGUGACGGUACCUGCAGAAGAAGCACCGGCUAACUACGUG